GGAAUCUUCCACAAUGGACGCAAGUCUGAUGGAGCAACGCCGCGUGAGUGAAGAAGGUUUUCGGACCGUAAAGCUCUGUUGUUGGUGAAGAAGGAUAGAGGUAGUAACUGGCCUUUAUUUGACGGUAAUCAACCAGAAAGUCACGGCUAACUACGUGCCAGCAGCCGCGGUAAUACGUAGGUGGCAAGCGUUGUCCGGAUUUAUUGGGCGUAAAGCGAGCGCAGGCGGAAGAAUAAGUCUGAUGUGAAAGCCCUCGGCUUAACCGAGGAAUUGCAUCGGAAACUGUUUUCUUGAGUGCAGAAGAGGAGAGUAGAACUCCAUGUGUAGCGGUGGAAUGCGUAGAUAUAUGGAAGAAUACCAGUGGCGAAGGCGGCUCUCUGGUCUGCAACUGACGCUGAGGCUCGAAAGCAUGGGUAGCGAACAGGAUUAGAUACCCUGGUAGUCCAUGCCGUAAACGAUGAGUGCUAAGUGUUGGGAGGCUUCCGCCUCUCAGUGCUGCAGUUAACGCAUUAAGCACUCCGCCUGGGGGAGUACGACCGCAAGGUUGAAAC
RNAcentral lists this ribosomal RNA (551 nucleotides) under uncultured bacterium. Its description in RNAcentral is "partial 16S ribosomal RNA". It matches the Rfam family "Bacterial small subunit ribosomal RNA", at positions 358 to 900 of the family's 1533-position model. The record is from RNAcentral.